ACCGGAACCAGUUGCUGACUGCAAAUCGCAUUUUCUCAGUCUCCGAUCCUAAUUGCCUCCGUAGAGAGAGAGAGAGAGAGAGAGAGGAAAUGGCGGCAGACGAACUUCCUCUAGAUGACAAGGCGAAGAGGAUGCGAGAUCUUCUGUCCAGCUUCUACUCUCCAGAACCUUCCUUGGCUGCCUCUGCUUCUGCCAAGUCAGCUUCCUUGGACGCCAUCAACUCCACUUCCUUCGAUCCCGAUCUCUACAUGAAUCUACUGGUUCAAAAGUCGAAUUUGGAGGGGCUUCUUCAAAAACAUGUUGAAAUGGCUGCUGAAAUAAAAAAUCUUGAUACUGACUUGCAAAUGUUAGUAUAUGAAAACUACAACAAGUUUAUCAGUGCCACAGAUACAAUUAAAAGGAUGAAAAAUAACAUUGUUGGCAUGGAGGCAAAUAUGGAGCAGCUCCUCGAGAAGAUUAUGUCCGUCCAAUCAAAAAGCGAUGGAGUUAAUACAUCCCUUUUUGAAAGGAGAGAACAUAUAGAGAAAUUGCACCGAACCCGGAACCUUCUUCGUAAAGUUCAGUUUAUAUACGAUCUUCCAACUCGACUUGGAAAGUGUAUCAAAUCAGAAGCUUAUGCUGAUGCAGUGAGGUUUUACACUGGGGCCAUGCCGAUUUUUAAGGCAUAUGGAGAAUCAUCCUUCCAGGAUUGUAAGAGAGCAUCUGAAGAAGCUAUAGGAAUAAUUAUUAACAAUCUGCAGGUGAAGCUCUACUCAGAUUCUGAACCUGUAGCAGCAAGAGCAGACGCUGUCGUGCUUCUUAAACAGUUGGACUUCCCGGUAGAUAGCUUAAAGACAAAGCUGCUGGAAAAGUUGCAGCACUUUCUCUCAGAAUUUCAGAUUGAAUCAAGAGAAGCAGAGACCAUUUUAUCUAAUCCUGAUGAACCUUUUAAAGCAGGAGGGUUUUCAGAUUCAGUUCCAUCAAUUCCUCCUGAGGCUAGUACAAACCAGGUUUCCAUUGGUGAUUUUUCAGAGAGUGUCCGCGCCUAUCGAAUAAUAUUCCCGGAUUCAGAAAGUCGGCUAAUUGAACUUGCACAAGCCCUGUUUACCAAGCGUUUUGAAACAAUUCAGCAGCGCAUGAAGAAGAAGGUUUCUUCAGCAGAUCUACUGGUGAUGCUGCGAGGCAUUUGGACUGAUGUGACCCUGAUGGAUGAAGUAUUGCCUGAGGCUGCUCUCCCCACUUUUUCUUUGGAGGCUGCUCGUGCUGCCAUCAAACAAUUUGUUUCCAGCUCAUUUUCUCACCUUCUUCUGGAAGUCUCAGAUGCUCUCGCGAAAGUCAAAACUAAGUCAAAGGAAGGGUUGGAGGAGCUGAGCUUGUUGCAGGUUGCCCUAGAGAGCGGCAAAAAAGCAGUAAUUCAAGGCAGCAUGGAUCUGUUACUGGGCUUCCGUCAGCUUCUUGAUGAUGGCUUGGAGUUACUAGUGAAACUCAGAGACUUGAUUAUUGAUUGGGUGCAAGAAGGGUUCCAGGACUUUUUCAGUUCACUCGAUGAUAGAUUCCAUUUGCUCUCUGGAAGCAAUACUUCAGCCAAUCAGGAUCCAAGUUCAAUGGAUGGAAGACAAGCGGAUAAAGUGCUCACAGGACUUGUUCUUGUGCUGGCACAACUUUCCAUUUUCAUAGAACAAAGUGCAAUUCCUAGAAUUACUGAGGAAAUAGCUGCUUCUUUCUCUGGCGGUGGUAUGCGGGGCUAUGAGUAUGGACCUGCAUUUGUACCUGGGGAGAUUUGUCGAAUAUUCCGUUAUGCUGGUGAAAAGUUUUUGCAUCUUUAUAUACAUAUGAAAACUCAGAAAAUAUCAAUUAUUCUAAAGAAGAGGUUUACAACACCCAACUGGAUCAAGCACAAGGAGCCUAGAGAAGUCCAUAUGUUCGUUGAUAUACUUCUUCAAGAGUUGGAAGCCAUAGGAACUGAAGUUAAUCAGAUUUUACCCCGUGGGCUUGUCCGAAAACACCGUCGCUCUGACAGUGCGGGAAGCACUGCUUCCAUCCGUAGCAAUCCAAUACGUGAAGACAAGAUGGCCCGGACAAAUACUCAACGCGCCAGGAGCCAGCUUCUGGAAAGCCAUCUUGCGAAGUUAUUUAAGCAAAAAAUGGAGAUUUUCACGAAAGUUGAACACACACAGGAGUCGGUUGUAUCGACCAUAGUGAAACUUUGCUUGAAAAGCUUGCAAGAAUUUGUGCGCCUCCAAACAUUCAACCGAAGCGGAUUUCAGCAAAUUCAGGUGGAUAUCCAGUUUUUGAGGAAUCCAUUAAAAGAGAAUGUAGACGAUGAGGCGGCCAUUGACUUCUUGCUGGACGAGGUUAUUGUCGCUGCUGCAGAGCGGUGUCUUGACCCAAUCGCUCUUGAGCCUGCCAUUUUGGACAAACUCAUACAAGCAAAACUCGCUAAGCGCAAAGAGCAGAAACCAAGUCAUUAGUAAUAUGAAGGCCAAUCAGACCACCACUGCCAGGUUUUCCAAUUGUCAUACCCAAGGUUUCCUUCAUUGGUACUGUUUAUGUUACACACACAUUGGCUUGGGGUUGCAUUUGGAUUCUAUGCCAUUCACAUCACUCAUCUCCACCGUCUGUUAGGUCCAGUCCACUCUUCUUCAGCUGCUGUAAAAAUCGCAGUUAUGGGAUGGAAAUAAACAUCAAUGGCUGGACUAUCUUCUUCAAACAAUCUUGUCCAUCCAUUUUCUUCAUGCUGACUAAAUGGACGGUUUUUAAUCGGUGAUUUUCCAUAGUAGUCCGUGUGGAGCGGACUUGCACCUAGCAGACCUUCCAUGUGAUGUGGACACCAACGAGUCCAGAUACAACUGUAUGCAUGGGAAGGCUCCCAUGCACAGCCAUUACUCAUUAUC
RNA transcript from Magnolia sinica, 2873 nucleotides. It is a transcript of the gene named vacuolar protein sorting-associated protein 51 homolog, with no coding region annotated. The transcript is spliced from 22 exons. Lineage: Eukaryota; Viridiplantae; Streptophyta; Magnoliopsida; Magnoliales; Magnoliaceae. The record is from RefSeq and is a predicted model, not a curated record.